AGUUCACAUAGACCAGGCUUCCUCUUUAGAGGCAUAAGCUGUAAAACAGGAGAGUCUGUUUUAAGAGGAUCUGUUUGAAGUUUAAUGUAACUGAAGUCCAUGCACCUGAAGCCAUUAAUUGAUAUAAGUGAAGUAAGUCUUUGGGUUUCCGGUAGCUCUGACUCAGAUUCUGCUUGCCUCUUCUCCAUGAGAUUACCAAGGCAUCAGGGCAGAGACUCCCUGAGGAUGAGUGGAUCUGGUUCAGAACAUCUGUGAACACAGAGGGAGUGGAAACUUCACUUUCAACAUCAUCAGCCAACUUCCCUCCCAUUACAAUUCUAUCUCAAGAUCAAGGUCAUGCAACAAAACCAGCAGGUGUGAUUCUUUCUCUCCGAUCAACUCACUUUGUUUUUUCUAUUUUUAUGCUCUCUUGAGCACUGUAUAAUUAACUUCCAUAAUGGCUCUAAAACUACUAGGUAAACAUAUUUAACAAGCUUCUAUCCAUAUUGAUAGAGAGGAAAUAUGUUAACUAUCAGAUGUCAGAGAGGAAAUAUGUUAAUGAUCCUGGGAUAUACACCAAUACUAAUGGAUUAUUGGUAGAAAUAUCAAUUGACUGCCCUGCAGAUUCUAAGCCAACUUUGGCCACUUCUUCUUUGAAGGAAAUGAUGACAGUGAUAAAAAAAAAAAAAAAAAAAAAAAAAAAGCAGCAAGCUCCUGCAGGCAUUCCUGAGAAAUUCAGAGGGAUUUCCUGUACUCUGCAAAGACCAUGACACAAUGUGGCCAUAAUCCUAACUCUCAUGCUGCUGCUGAAAGUGGAAGCAGAAGGAUACAAACAAACCAAACCCUUGGUUCAAGCAACAAGCAUUUAUUGAAUACCUGCUGUGUGCCAGAACUAGUCUAGGCACGUUGAAGGCAAUUGAUGCAGGACUUCCAAUAGCUUCCCAUCUCACUCAAAGUAAAGGCCAAAGACAUUACAGGGACCUAGAAAGAUCUUUCCUCCACUUCACUCCACUCUAGCCACAAUGAUGUCCAUUCUGUUCUUCCAAUACACUGUGCAUAGUAUCUCCUGAAAACCUUAUCUCACAUGGUUCUCUCCACCUAGGAAGCUCCAAUCCCAGAUACCUGCAUGGCUUGACCUCUCUUUCCAACCAAUCUUUACCCAAAUACAGCCUCCUCAGAGAGGUCUUCCUGAGCCACAUUUGCAAAGUUAAAUCACCCCUAUGCAGUUCCUAAUCUAUUUCUUUGCUUUACUUCCUUCCUUAACACUUGUCAUUCUCUCACAUAGUAUAUAUCUCACCCAUUAUAAUCUGUCUCUAUAAUUAGACUAUAAAAUUUAGGUAAGUGGGGCUUUGGGGUUUUGUUUUGUUCACUGCUAAAUCCCAAAAAAAGAGCCUUGCACAUAAUAGCCAUUUAAUAAAUAUUUUUGCAUUAAUUGACUAAUAAAAUUUGUUACAAGGUUGGUA
Homo sapiens (human) is the source of this 1442-nucleotide long non-coding RNA. NCBI's taxonomy places the organism in Eukaryota, Metazoa, Chordata, Mammalia, Primates, Hominidae. The record is from Ensembl.